GACGAACGCUGGCGGCGUGCCUAAUACAUGCAAGUAGAACGCUGAAGAGAGGAGCUUGCUCUUCUUGGAUGAGUUGCGAACGGGUGAGUAACGCGUAGGUAACCUGCCUUGUAGCGGGGGAUAACUAUUGGAAACGAUAGCUAAUACCGCAUAACAAUGGAUGACACAUGUCAUUUAUUUGAAAGGGGCAAUUGCUCCACUACAAGAUGGACCUGCGUUGUAUUAGCUAGUAGGUGAGGUAACGGCUCACCUAGGCGACGAUACAUAGCCGACCUGAGAGGGUGAUCGGCCACACUGGGACUGAGACACGGCCCAGACUCCUACGGGAGGCAGCAGUAGGGAAUCUUCGGCAAUGGGGGCAACCCUGACCGAGCAACGCCGCGUGAGUGAAGAAGGUUUUCGGAUCGUAAAGCUCUGUUGUAAGUCAAGAACGAGUGUGAGAGUGGAAAAGUUCACACUGUGACGGUAGC
RNAcentral lists this ribosomal RNA (470 nucleotides) under Streptococcus sp. oral taxon C65. RNAcentral's name for it is "bacterial SSU rRNA". It matches the Rfam family "Bacterial small subunit ribosomal RNA", at positions 28 to 479 of the family's 1533-position model. The record is from RNAcentral. Lineage: Bacteria; Bacillati; Bacillota; Bacilli; Lactobacillales; Streptococcaceae.